CGGUGUUCAACUGGCGUGUCCGCGGGACGUCCUGCCGGUGGGCUUAGCCCGCAAGGGCGGCCCAACUUCAAAUCCCAUCGCGGUGCUCUUCACUGAGUGUCGAGGUGGGCCGGCACGUUUACUUUGAACAAAUUAGAGUGCUUAAAGCAGGCUAAAACUUCGCCUGAAUACUGUGUGCAUGGAAUAAUGGAAUAGGACCUCGGUUCUAUUUUGUUGGUUUUCAGAACCCCGAGGUAAUGAUUAAUAGGAACGGAUGGGGGCAUUCGUAUUGCGACGUUAGAGGUGAAAUUCUUGGAUCGUCGCAAGACGGACAGAAGCGAAAGCAUUUGCCAAAAACGCUUUCAUUGAUCAAGAACGAAAGUUAGAGGUUCGAAGGCGAUCAGAUACCGCCCUAGUUCUAACCAUAAACGAUGCCAGCUAGCGAUCCGUCGACGUUCCUCCGAUGACUCGACGGGCAGCUUCCGGGAAACCAAAGCUUUUGGGUUCCGGGGGAAGUAUGGUUGCAAAGCUGAAACUUAAAGGAAUUGACGGAAGGGCACCACCAGGAGUGGAGCCUGCGGCUUAAUUUGACUCAACACGGGAAGCCUCACCAGGCCCGGACACCGGAAGGAUUGACAGAUUGAGAGCUCUUUCUUGAUUCGGUGGGUGGUGGUGCAUGGCCGUUCUUAGUUGGUGGAGCGAUUUGUCUGGUUAAUUCCGAUAACGAACGAGACUCUAGCCUGCUAACUAGGCGUAUUUUCGACAUCUCAAAGGUCCGUCGUCCCGGCCCUCGGGUCGUGGGCGUGCGCGAUUUUUACUGUCGGCGUACUAUCAAUUCUUCUUAGAGGGACAGGUGGCUUCUAGCCGCACGAGAUUGAGCAAUAACAGGUCUGUGAUG
RNAcentral lists this ribosomal RNA (877 nucleotides) under uncultured eukaryote. RNAcentral describes it as "SSU rRNA". It matches the Rfam family "Eukaryotic small subunit ribosomal RNA", at positions 636 to 1469 of the family's 1831-position model. The record is from RNAcentral.